UGGGGAAUAUUGGACAAUGGGCGCAAGCCUGAUCCAGCCAUGCCGCGUGAGUGAUGAAGGCCUUAGGGUUGUAAAGCUCUUUCACCGGUGAAGAUAAUGACGGUAACCGGAGAAGAAGCCCCGGCUAACUUCGUGCCAGCAGCCGCGGUAAUACGAAGGGGGCUAGCGUUGUUCGGAAUUACUGGGCGUAAAGCGCACGUAGGCGGACCAUUAAGUCAGGGGUGAAAUCCCGGAGCUCAACUCCGGAACUGCCUUUGAUACUGGUGGUCUAGAGACCGAGAGAGGUAAGUGGAACUCCUAGUGUAGAGGUGGAAUUCGUAGAUAUUAGGAAGAACACCAGUGGCGAAGGCGGCUUACUGGCUCGGAACUGACGCUGAGGUGCGAAAGCGUGGGGAGCAAACAGG
RNAcentral lists this ribosomal RNA (404 nucleotides) under uncultured bacterium. RNAcentral's name for it is "partial 16S ribosomal RNA". It matches the Rfam family "Bacterial small subunit ribosomal RNA", at positions 355 to 776 of the family's 1533-position model. The record is from RNAcentral. RNAcentral also lists the same sequence under 2 other names.